Molecule: ribosomal RNA, 429 nt
Filed under: Acidobacteriota bacterium
Lineage: Bacteria; Pseudomonadati; Acidobacteriota
Description: Acidobacteria bacterium partial 16S ribosomal RNA
Rfam family: Bacterial small subunit ribosomal RNA
Source: RNAcentral
UGGGGAAUUUUGGACAAUGGGGGAAACCCUGAUCCAGCCAUCCCGCGUGUGCGAUGAAGGCCUUCGGGUUGUAAAGCACUUUUGGCAGGAAAGAAACGUCAUGGGUUAAUACCCCGUGAAACUGACGGUACCUGCAGAAUAAGCACCGGCUAACUACGUGCCAGCAGCCGCGGUAAUACGUAGGGUGCAAGCGUUAAUCGGAAUUACUGGGCGUAAAGCGUGCGCAGGCGGUUCGGAAAGAAAGAUGUGAAAUCCCAGAGCUCAACUUUGGAACUGCAUUUUUAACUACCGGGCUAGAGUCUGUCAGAGGGAGGUGUAAUACCGCGUGUAGCAGUGAAAUGCGUAGAUAUGCGGGGGAACACCGAUGGCGAAGGCAGCCUCCUGGGAUAACACUGACGCUCAUGCACGAAAGCGUGGGGAGCAAACAGG